Molecule: ribosomal RNA, 224 nt
Filed under: uncultured Anoxybacillus sp.
Lineage: Bacteria; Bacillati; Bacillota; Bacilli; Caryophanales; Anoxybacillaceae
Description: partial 16S ribosomal RNA
Rfam family: Bacterial small subunit ribosomal RNA
Source: RNAcentral
UAAAGCGGAGGAAGGUGGGGAUGACGUCAAAUCAUCAUGCCCCUUAUGACCUGGGCUACACACGUGCUACAAUGGGCGGUACAAAGGGUCGCGAACCCGCGAGGGGGAGCCAAUCCCAAAAAGCCGCUCUCAGUUCGGAUUGCAGGCUGCAACUCGCCUGCAUGAAGCCGGAAUCGCUAGUAAUCGCGGAUCAGCAUGCCGCGGUGAAUACGUUCCCGGGCCUU